This 592-nucleotide ribosomal RNA is filed under the name uncultured organism. RNAcentral describes it as "SSU rRNA". It matches the Rfam family "Bacterial small subunit ribosomal RNA", at positions 220 to 804 of the family's 1533-position model. The record is from RNAcentral.
GAAGGAGGGGAUUGCGUCUGAUUAGCUAGUUGGAGGGGUAACGGCCCACCAAGGCGAUGAUCAGUAGCCGGUCUGAGAGGAUGAACGGCCACAUUGGGACUGAGACACGGCCCAGACUCCUACGGGAGGCAGCAGUGGGGAAUCUUCCGCAAUGGACGAAAGUCUGACGGAGCAACGCCGCGUGAGUGAUGACGGCCUUCGGGUUGUAAAGCUCUGUUAAUCGGGACGAAAGGCCUUCUUGCGAAUAGUUAGAAGGAUUGACGGUACCGGAAUAGAAAGCCACGGCUAACUACGUGCCAGCAGCCGCGGUAAUACGUAGGUGGCAAGCGUUGUCCGGAAUUAUUGGGCGUAAAGCGCGAGCAGGCGGAUUGGUCAGUCUGUCUUAAAAGUUCGGGGCUUAACCCCGUGAUGGGAUGGAAACUGCCAAUCUAGAGUAUCGGAGAGGAAAGUGGAAUUCCUAGUGUAGCGGUGAAAUGCGUAGAUAUUAGGAAGAACACCAGUGGCGAAGGCGACUUUCUGGACGAAAACUGACGCUGAGGCGCGAAAGCCAGGGGAGCGAACGGGAUUAGAUACCCCGGUAGUCCUGGCCGUA